GAUGAACGCUGGCGGCGUGCCUAAUACAUGCAAGUCGAGCGAACAGACGAGGAGCUCGCUCCUCUGACGUUAGCGGCGGACGGGUGAGUAACACGUGGAUAACCUACCUAUAAGACUGGGAUAACUUCGGGAAACCGGAGCUAAUACCGGAUAAUAUAUUGAACCGCAUGGUUCAAUAGUGAAAGACGGUUUUGCUGUCACUUAUAGAUGGAUCCGCGCCGCAUUAGCUAGUUGGUAAGGUAACGGCUUACCAAGGCAACGAUGCGUAGCCGACCUGAGAGGGUGAUCGGCCACACUGGAACUGAGACACGGUCCAGACUCCUACGGGAGGCAGCAGUAGGGAAUCUUCCGCAAUGGGCGAAAGCUUGACGGAGCAACGCCGCGUGAGUGAUGAAGGUCUUCGGAUCGUAAAACUCUGUUAUUAGGGAAGAACAAAUGUGUAAGUAACUAUGCACGUCUUGACGGUACCUAAUCAGAAAGCCACGGCUAACUACGUG
This 497-nucleotide ribosomal RNA is filed under the name uncultured bacterium. RNAcentral describes it as "partial 16S ribosomal RNA". It matches the Rfam family "Bacterial small subunit ribosomal RNA", at positions 28 to 507 of the family's 1533-position model. The record is from RNAcentral.